Molecule: long non-coding RNA, 430 nt
Organism: Hermetia illucens (black soldier fly)
Lineage: Eukaryota; Metazoa; Arthropoda; Insecta; Diptera; Stratiomyidae
Exons: 2
Source: RefSeq, a predicted model, not a curated record
CUAUAAAGCGUCGUAGCGGACCUCGCUUGACAUUAUUUAGUGAAGUUAAUCCAUUGAAAGCAGCACUAAUUGGAAUUGCGAAAAAUGAAGAUCUUCGUUAUGGCGCUAUUGUUGGCGUGCACCAUUUGUGCAGUGCAAGGGGCCAACAAGAAAAAGCCCAACAUGAAAGCUAAGUGCUUCUGGCUGUGGAACGGAAGUGGCUCGAGUAGUGGAUCAUCCGGUUCAGGGUCGGGAACAGGAACAGGAUCAGGAUCCACAGCAUCAAGAUCAGCGAGUCCAGCUCAAAAUCCUAGGAGUCAACUGAUUCAAAGGAUCAGGGAAAAUAGACGUCGGAGGGCACAGCUUAUUGCAAAUAUGUUGCGAGGUUGAUUUGCUCGAUUCUGUUUGAAAUCGGAAAUUUUGAAAAAUAAAGCAAAUUCAAGAAAAGGAA